Molecule: ribosomal RNA, 301 nt
Filed under: uncultured bacterium
Lineage: Bacteria
Description: partial 16S ribosomal RNA
Rfam family: Bacterial small subunit ribosomal RNA
Source: RNAcentral
CAGCCGCCGCGGUAACACGAAGGGUGCAAGCGUUAAUCGGAAUUACUGGGCGUAAAGCGUGCGUAGGCGGUUUGUUAAGUCUGCUGUGAAAUCCCCGGGCUCAGCCUGGGAAUGGCAGUGGAUACUGGCAAGCUAGAGUGUGUCGGAGGAUGGUGGAACUCCCGGUGUAGCGGUGAAAUGCGUAGAGAUGUGGAGGAACACCAGUGGCGAAGGCGACUCUCUGGUCUGUAACUGACGCUGAGGAGCGAAAGCGUGGGGAGCGAACAGGAUUAGAUACCCCGGUAGUCCCUGUCUCUUAUAC